Molecule: microRNA precursor, 99 nt
Filed under: Loxodonta africana (African savanna elephant)
Lineage: Eukaryota; Metazoa; Chordata; Mammalia; Proboscidea; Elephantidae
Description: miRNA (ENSLAFG00000031302.1)
Source: RNAcentral
AUCAUCUGAAGAAUGUUGUUAAACUGCAGAUUCUGAUUCUGUGGGUCGGGGUGGGGCCUGAGAUUCUGCAUUUCUAACAAACUCCCAGGUGAUGCCAGU